RNAcentral lists this ribosomal RNA (301 nucleotides) under uncultured bacterium. RNAcentral describes it as "partial 16S ribosomal RNA". It matches the Rfam family "Bacterial small subunit ribosomal RNA", at positions 509 to 807 of the family's 1533-position model. The record is from RNAcentral.
CAGUCGCCGCGGUAAAACGUAGGGUGCAAGCGUUAAUCGGAAUUACUGGGCGUAAAGCGUGCGCAGGCGGUUAUAUAAGACAGAUGUGAAAUCCCCGGGCUCAACCUGGGAACUGCAUUUGUGACUGUAUAGCUAGAGUACGGCAGAGGGGGAUGGAAUUCCGCGUGUAGCAGUGAAAUGCGUAGAUAUGCGGAGGAACACCGAUGGCGAAGGCAAUCCCCUGGGCCUGUACUGACGCUCAUGCACGAAAGCGUGGGGAGCAAACAGGAUUAGAUACUCCUGUAGUCCCUGUCUCUUAUAC